GUGAAUCAUCAAAUUUUUGAACGCAUAUUGCACUCCCCAGCAUUCCGGGGAGUAUGCCUGUUUCAGCAUCAGAAUCAUCCUCGAGCCCACGAGGCUGACACUUAGCUCGUAUUCCGUCUUCUGCUUUAAAAAAAAAAUUUUGGUUAAGGGGCUUAAAAUUGACCUUUUUUGCGCAUCUUUAGACGUACAUAAAUUUUUUUUUUAUUCGUCUAUUCUUAUUGCCAAAAUCUUAUUAGAUGCGAUGAUAUCGUGUGGUUUUGUGUCCAUAAAAUUUUCAUGAUUUGACCUC
Molecule: unclassified non-coding RNA, 289 nt
Filed under: Glomeraceae sp.
Lineage: Eukaryota; Fungi; Glomeromycota; Glomeromycetes; Glomerales; Glomeraceae
Description: partial internal transcribed spacer 2
Rfam family: 5.8S ribosomal RNA (bases 1-71)
Source: RNAcentral